CAUUCCUCGUCUCCGGCGCUACCUCCUCUCCGGCGCGGACCGAUCCCAACCCGCUCCGCCGGAGGAAUUUUUCUCCUCCUCCCUCCUCUCCCACCGUCUCGCUUGUUCUCCUUCUUCUCCUCCUCCUCUUCUUCGGGUGUUCUGGGUUUGUUCUCUCUCCUUUCCGGCGUCGACCGACCGGCCCCAAGUCCCGAUCGAUUCAGGCCCGCCUCCGCCCGAGGAGAAAACUUGGAUCCAACCCACCGCCUAUCUCGGGAUAGAGAAAGGUACGGAUUGGAAGUUCGAUGUCCUGUUGGAGUUUAUAUUUUAAUUUAAUUUAAUACUUGUCACGAAAUUAAUCGAUUCGUAUCUUCUAUCAUCGCAGAUCCACAUCCUCUCCGUCUCAGUGAUCGAAGAGAGUUCGCAGCCAUUUUCGGCUCCAGCAAUCGU
This 429-nucleotide long non-coding RNA is filed under the name Phoenix dactylifera (date palm). RNAcentral describes it as "long non-coding RNA (PDAC_LNC020995)". Lineage: Eukaryota; Viridiplantae; Streptophyta; Magnoliopsida; Arecales; Arecaceae. The record is from RNAcentral.